AGCUCCAGUAGCGUAUAUUAAAGCUGUUGCGGUUAAAAAGCUCGUAGUUGGAUAUCAGUGCGUGUCCGGUCCGGUAUGCCUGGCGGCGCUGCUCACGUGGCACUGCUGGGCUCCCAAAUAUCGGCUGGCCGCAUUCAAUCGUGCCGGAUCCGUCGACGGGCCGCUCUUCCGAGGGGCCUGUUGGCGACCGGCGACGUUACCUUGAACAAAUUAGAGUGCUCAAAGCAGGCUCUGAAUGCCUGUAUACAUAUUCAUGGAAUUGGAGAAUACGUCCCUGGCUCGAUUUGGUUGGUUUUGAGAGUCGAAGGGAAAUGAUUAAUAGGGACUGACGGAGGCAUUCGUAUUGCGACGCGAGGGGUGAAAUCCUGUGACCGUCGCACGACGAACUACUGCGAAAGCAUUUGCCGAGAAUGUUU
This 416-nucleotide ribosomal RNA is filed under the name uncultured eukaryote. Its description in RNAcentral is "SSU rRNA". It matches the Rfam family "Eukaryotic small subunit ribosomal RNA", at positions 587 to 969 of the family's 1831-position model. The record is from RNAcentral.